AUACGGAGGUUCCGAGCGUUAUCCGGAAUCAUUGGGUUUAAAGGGUCCGUAGGCGGGAAUCUAAGUCAGUGGUGAAAUCUUGCAGCUCAACUGUAAAAUUGCCAUUGAUACUGGAUUUCUUGAAUUAGUGUGAAGUGGUUAGAAUGUGUAGUGUUGCGGUGAAAUGCAUAGAUAUUACACAGAAUACCAAUUGCGAAGGCAGAUCACUAACACUAUAUUGACGCUAAGGGACGAAAGCGUGGGGAGCGAACAGGAUUAGAAACCCCGGUAGUCC
Molecule: ribosomal RNA, 274 nt
Filed under: uncultured bacterium
Lineage: Bacteria
Description: partial 16S ribosomal RNA
Rfam family: Bacterial small subunit ribosomal RNA
Source: RNAcentral